GACGAACGCUGGCGGCGUGCCUAAUACAUGCAAGUCGAGCGCAGGAAGUCAUCCGACCCCUUCGGGGGGACGUUGACGGAAUGAGCGGCGGACGGGUGAGUAACACGUAAAGAACCUGCCCUCAGGUCUGGGAUAACCACGAGAAAUCGGGGCUAAUACCGGAUGGGUCAUCGGACCGCAUGGUCCGAGGAUGAAAGGCGCUCCGGCGUCGCCUGGGGAUGGCUUUGCGGUGCAUUAGCUAGUUGGUGGGGUAAUGGCCCACCAAGGCGACGAUGCAUAGCCGACCUGAGAGGGUGAUCGGCCACACUGGGACUGAGACACGGCCCAGACUCCUACGGGAGGCAGCAGUAGGGAAUCUUCCACAAUGGACGAAAGUCUGAUGGAGCAACGCCGCGUGAACGAUGAAGGCCCUCGGGUCGUAAAGUUCUGUUGUAAGGGAAGAACAAGUGCCGCAGGCAAUGGCGGCACCUUGACGGUACCUGGCGAGAAAGCCACGGCUAACUACGUG
RNAcentral lists this ribosomal RNA (508 nucleotides) under uncultured bacterium. Its description in RNAcentral is "partial 16S ribosomal RNA". It matches the Rfam family "Bacterial small subunit ribosomal RNA", at positions 28 to 507 of the family's 1533-position model. The record is from RNAcentral.